UACGUAGGUGGCAAGCGUUGUCCGGAAUCACUGGGCGUAAAGCGCGCGCAGGCGGCGAUCUACGUCUGGGGUGAAAGCCCGGAGCUCAACUCCGGGACUGCCUUGGAUACGGGAUCGCUUGAGGAUUGGAGAGGCAAGGGGAAUUCCACGUGUAGCGGUGAAAUGCGUAGAUAUCUGGAGGAACACCGGUGGCGAAGGCGGCAUCCUGGACCAAUAUUGACGCUGAGGAGCGAAAGCCAGGGGAGCAAACGGG
RNAcentral lists this ribosomal RNA (253 nucleotides) under uncultured bacterium. Its description in RNAcentral is "partial 16S ribosomal RNA". It matches the Rfam family "Bacterial small subunit ribosomal RNA", at positions 524 to 776 of the family's 1533-position model. The record is from RNAcentral.